Molecule: ribosomal RNA, 295 nt
Filed under: uncultured bacterium
Lineage: Bacteria
Description: partial 16S ribosomal RNA
Rfam family: Bacterial small subunit ribosomal RNA
Source: RNAcentral
ACGAACGCUGGCGGCGUGCCUAACACAUGCAAGUCGAGCGAGAAAGGGGAGCAAUCCCCUGAGUACAGCGGCGCACGGGUGAGUAACACGUAGGUGAUCUCCCCUCGAGCCCGGAAUAACCUACCGAAAGGUGGGCUAAUACCGGAUAUGACCACGGGAGUUUCGGCUCCUGCGGUGAAAGAUGGCCUCUACCUGUAAGCUAUCACUCAAGGAUGAGCCUGCGUGCCAUAGCUAGUUGGUGAGGUAACGGCUCACCAAGCUAUGAUGGCUAGCUGGUCUGAGAGGAUGGCCAGCC